Non-coding RNA from Eumeta japonica, 80 nucleotides. NCBI's taxonomy places the organism in Eukaryota, Metazoa, Arthropoda, Insecta, Lepidoptera, Psychidae. The record is from the annotation of a GenBank genome assembly.
GAUAGCAUGGCCGAGAGGUCUAAGGCGUUGGUUUAAGCCACCACCGCCUUCGGAGGUGGGUUCGAAUCCCAUCGCCGCCA